AGAGUUUGAUCCUGGCUCAGGAUGAACGCUAGCGACAGGCUUAACACAUGCAAGUCGAGGGGCAUCAUGAGGUAGCAAUACCUUGAUGGCGACCGGCGCACGGGUGAGUAACGCGUAUGCAACCUGCCCGAUACCGGGGUAUAGCCCAUGGAAACGUGGAUUAACACCCCAUAGUACUUUUAUCCUGCAUGGGAUGUGAGUUAAAUGUUUAAGGUAUCGGAUGGGCAUGCGUCCUAUUAGUUAGUUGGCGGGGUAACAGCCCACCAAGACGAUGAUAGGUAGGGGUUCUGAGAGGAAGGUCCCCCACAUUGGAACUGAGACACGGUCCAAACUCCUACGGGAGGCAGCAGUGAGGAAUAUUGGUCAAUGGACGUAAGUCUGAACCAGCCAAGUCGCGUGAGGGACGACUGCCCUAUGGGUUGUAAACCUCUUUUAUAAGGGAAGAAUAAGUUCUACGUGUAGAAUGAUGCCUGUACCUUAUGAAUAAGCAUCGGCUAACUCCGUGCCAGCAGCCGCGGUAAUACGGAGGAUGCGAGCGUUAUCCGGAUUUAUUGGGUUUAAAGGGUGCGUAGGCGGUUUAUUAAGUUAGUGGUUAAAUAUUUGAGCUAAACUCAAUAGUGCCAUUAAUACUGGUAAACUGGAGUACAGACGAGGUAGGCGGAAUAAGUUAAGUAGCGGUGAGAUGCAUAGAUAUAACUUAGAACUCCGAUAGCGAAGGCAGCUUACCAGACUGUAACUGACGCUGAAGCACGAGAGCGUGGGUAGCGAACAGGAUUAGAUACCCUGGUAGUCCACGCCGUAAACGAUGAGUGCUAGGUGUUAGGCCCUUUCCGGGGCUUAGUGCCGCAGCUAACGCAUUAAGCACUCCGCCUGGGGAGUACGACCGCAAGGUUGAAACUCAAAGGAAUUGACGGGGGCCCGCACAAGCGGUGGAGCAUGUGGUUUAAUUCGAAGCAACGCGAAGAACCUUACCAGGUCUUGACAUCCCGAUGCUAUUUCUAGAGAUAGAAAGUUUCUUCGGAACAUCGGUGACAGGUGGUGCAUGGUUGUCGUCAGCUCGUGUCGUGAGAUGUUGGGUUAAGUCCCGCAACGAGCGCAACCCCUAUUGUUAGUUGCCAUCAUUGAGUUGGGCACUCUAGCGAGACUGCCGGUAAUAAACCGGAGGAAGGUGGGGAUGACGUCAAAUCAUCAUGCCCCUUAUGACCUGGGCUACACACGUGCUACAAUGGUUGGUACAACGAGUCGCAAGUCGGUGACGGCAAGCAAAUCUCUUAAAGCCAAUCUCAGUUCGGAUCGUAGGCUGCAACUCGCCUACAUGAAGUCGGAAUCGCUAGUAAUCGCGGAUCAGCACGCCGCGGUGAAUACGUUCCCGGGCCUUGUACACACCGCCCGUCAAG
RNAcentral lists this ribosomal RNA (1397 nucleotides) under uncultured bacterium. RNAcentral describes it as "partial 16S ribosomal RNA". It matches the Rfam family "Bacterial small subunit ribosomal RNA". The record is from RNAcentral.